CUCUGUUUUAAUGCAGGCAAGAAAGCGAGUCAACCUUCCUGAAAGAAGUCAAGGUAAAGCAGCUUUGCUGUUGCCUUGGGAAGGAGGAGCUCUACCACUGAGCAGAGCUUCUUUCUGGGCUCCCAGGAGACCCUGGAGCAGGCAGCUGAAGGAAGUCUUAGGGUAUCUGGGGCUGUCAUGUUGGGAGCCCAAGGUCAGCCCAAGGCCAGAUCAUCAUCCACUUCCUAAUGAAUUGCAUCUUCUCACCAUCCCGAA
This 255-nucleotide long non-coding RNA is filed under the name Fukomys damarensis (Damara mole-rat). RNAcentral describes it as "lncRNA (ENSFDAG00000029099.1)". Lineage: Eukaryota; Metazoa; Chordata; Mammalia; Rodentia; Bathyergidae. The record is from RNAcentral.